CUCAUCUCUUGACUUGAUCUUAAUAUUGUGUCAUUGCAGAGGCUAAGUGUAAUUGGCAUCCUCUUAAAAUUAAUAUUUCGGUUCUCUUUGUUUUUCCUCCGUUUUCAUCCUUUUUUGUGCGCAUUCUCAUCUCUUGACUUGAUCUUAAUAUUGUGUCAUUGCAGAGGCUAAGUGUAAUUGGCAUCCUCUUAAAAUUAAUAUUUCGGUUCUCUUUGUUUUUCCUCCGUUUUCAUCAUUUUUG
This 241-nucleotide long non-coding RNA is filed under the name Hordeum vulgare. RNAcentral's name for it is "long non-coding RNA (HVUL_LNC005360)". The record is from RNAcentral. Lineage: Eukaryota; Viridiplantae; Streptophyta; Magnoliopsida; Poales; Poaceae.